AAAGUUACUACACAACACCCCCUUCCUCUCCAAUCCCCAAAUUCUCUCUCCUCUCUCUCUCUCUCUCUCUCUCCUCCUCCUCGUGCAAACCCUCCUCCGCCAUGAACCACCACCACCACGGCAAUCCUCCUCCGCCGCCUCCGGCGCCGCCGAUCGUCCGCCACACGACCACGGCACAAAUCCUGAAGCACACGGCUUCGGUAUUCUACUCUCACCUCGUCACUUUCGUGUUCCUCUCCACCCUCCUCCUCACCUUCCGUUCCAACGUCCUCAGCGCCUCUCACUACCUCUCCUCGCUCAUCGACCGCGACCCUUCCCUCAAAUCUCUCCUCUCUCGCCUCGAUUUCUCCGCCCCCUCCCAUCUCCACCCCCACCCCCACCCUCGCCAUCAGCCUCCGUACAAUCGUCGCCGCCGCGCUUUUCUGCAUCUCUCCAGAGUCGGAACCCUCGACGACGAUUUCUUCUCCGGAGAUUCCGAUUUCGACCGCUCUCUGUUCUACCCCUCUUCUAGAAAGCCCCCUCCCAACGCUACCUUCUUCAUUCUCUCCGAUUUCAACCCUGAUUACGGCUUUUCCAGUUCCGUCAUCGAUAACGGUGUUUCUUUCCCUAAAGUUGUCAAACCUGGCGGUGUUAGUUUCAAGCCGGAGUUCAGGAAGAAUGUCACGGUUCUGGAAGAUGAGGAACGAAAAUUUGUGGAGAGCAGAUUGGAUGAUAGCAAUGCAGUCGUAGAUUUAGAUUUCUUGAUCAAGGGUUUUGAGUUGGGGCAUCGUGAUGCGACUUCCUUGGUUAUUUUAGCAGGCGUUUUGUCCGCCACUUAUGCUUACGUUGUCUUGGCGUUCAUAGUUGCUUACACUUGGGUUAAUGGAAUAAUUUUCCUCAAAGUGGUGGAUCAUUUGGUCGGGAAGUACAGGUCCUUCUGGCGCACCUUUUGGGAUGGAUCAAAUCUGGGGCUCAAGAGGCUGUCCGGAUUUAUUCUGAUGAAAUGGGCUGUUAGGGAUGCUCUUGCGCAGCUGAUGGGGAUAUUUUUUUUCGGGGAAAUUGAAGAUCAGUAUGUGUUUUUCAAGGUUUUUUUGAGGAUGAAGUUUAUGCCGUUUGCUAAUGUUGCACCUUGGGUAGUAGGGCACGAGUGGGAGAGUUCUGGGUUCAUUGUGGUGUGGUUCUUGAGUGAUUUGAUGCUUGGUUUUAUCUUUGCUGUGGAUUCGUGGGUUGCAAUUGUGGAUUCGAGGAGAGGUGGUAGGGAGAUUGUUAAGGAAGGUUGUCAUAUGUUGGUAGCAUUAUUUUGCCCUGCCUUUGAGAUAAGGUGGUUGGAAGCAAUCAUUUGUGGAUCAGUUGGGAGGUGGAUUUUGAGGAAGAUGUUUGGAGAGGUUUCGACAUUGGUUAUUCAGUCGUUAAUGGAGGUGUACUUCAUGGUGGCGUGGCUGAUCUUUUACUUUGCAGCUAGGCAUAAGGAUGAUGCUUCCCUUGGAAGGACAUUUGGACGAAGAGAAUUGGAACGUCUUGUUGAGAUUGCUAGUUUGGCGAAGAAUCAGGCAAACACAAAAAGUUCGCUUGGAGAAUGCAAAAUUAUAGAUGAAGAAUGAGCAGAAGGUAGUAAUAAUUGGUCAGCAAUGGAAGUCAACAUAGCUCAAAAAAGAAUACAAUCGAAAUCAAGAGGAGAGGGACCAAGGGACCAUAUUGUAGCAGGCCUCUUUUAAUAUUUCACCUGCAUUAUGUUUGAUCCAUUAUGUGUGUGAUAGAAUUCCGUAACUUUUAUGGAUUUAUGAUGCUCUGUGGAUUCACCUUUGUUUUGUUGUGACGGUUGUUGUUUUCAUAAUCCCUACUCUUCAAAUUUUGGUUUUGAAAUAGAAGCUCAUUUGAAAUUAAUGUUGAAAUCUGGAAGUGCGAAAAUAUUAUUGCUGUUCCUUCUAAAGCACAAAGAAUGCAUCUCAGUUACGCCUUUAUGUGAGUUUAUCACAUUCAUGUUCAUGUAAGUAAAGAGCUUUUCUUCCCCAGUUUAUCCCCCCUCCUUGAGAAAAAUGUAUUGUUCUACAAAUUUUGACGAAUUAAUAUGCAAUAACAUUUUUAUUUGAUGGAUCUAAUAGUAUGGCCUCUUUGUCACUGGAUAAUUUAUUUGUGAUUACAGCUUCGUUAUGAUAUAUUAUUAGUUAAUACAUACCACACUUGAAUAGAUUCUACAAUAGGCUAUUGAUUUUAUCCAUAUUUACUAACAAGGGUUAAAAUGGCAAAGAAUUAAAUCUUGCCGCAGGAGUUGCAGAAGAAUUCCCUCAAGCAGAUGGGAAGUUGUCGACAUGGUUGGGAUUUGGCACAUUGAACUACUCUGAGGAAGAUAGUCUCAUCACAGGGUAUACAAAGUCUCGAGCUAGCUGUGAAACCAUACACUUCCCUAGCAUGAUCCAGCAAUGCCUGGAAGAGCGGGUGCUUCAGUAAGUAGCAGCAUAAGCUUUCAUGGACACAAAUAAGAAGCCCCGAUCAUGAUCAUGAUCAUGGCCAUCAUGGGUGCUCAACCGCUCAAGGACCGACGUGGAAGAAGAAAUUCUAGUGGUUGGAGAGAGAGGAGAGUGGGGAUCCCCCCCUAAUAAAGCACAUGAGGGUAGGGUAGGGAAGGGUAGGGCCAUGUUGUACUUAGGAGACAUGUUGCAUGUUGCUGACACCUCAAGCCAGCAUAUCAUCUAUCAUCGUCUUCUUUUCAUCCUAGCAUAGCAUACUUUCUGGGCUGGUCAAUGAAGCCCAUACUAUACUGGAUGAUACUCAAAUGUCUUAAAGAAAACAACUCUCCAAACCUGACGUGUUCAAGUCAAUCGACCACAAGUCAAGGCUGGCUGUGUUGUGUGUGGUCUUUCCAUUUACCAUUUACCA
RNA transcript from Andrographis paniculata, 2856 nucleotides. RefSeq lists it as uncharacterized. Lineage: Eukaryota; Viridiplantae; Streptophyta; Magnoliopsida; Lamiales; Acanthaceae. The record is from RefSeq and is a predicted model, not a curated record. The transcript has 4 exons.